GUUGCCCGAGUCGCGCUGCGGGGGCCGAGAUGUCGUCCCGGCCUGGGCGCGAGGACGCGGCGCCUGCGGGCGCGCGGCGACCGCGUGAGCCGCCGGAGCAGGAGCUGCAGCGACGUCGGGAGCAGAAGCGGCGGCGGCACGACGCGCAGCAGCUGCAGCAACUCAAGCACCUGGAGUCCUUUUAUGAAAAACCUCCUCCUGGGCUUAUCAAGGAAGAUGAGACUAAGCCAGAAGAUUGCAUACCAGAUGUACCAGGCAAUGAACACGCCAGGGAAUUUCUGGCUCAUGCACCAACUAAAGGACUUUGGAUGCCACUGGGGAAAGAAGUCAAAGUUAUGCAGUGUGAGUGUGGGAGAGUUUCCCUAAUCCAUGCAACUUACAUGCCACAAUUUACAAAGAGUGUUUACUUCUUUAUUUAACUUGUUAUCACAGCCCUCUUAUAGCCAAGGCAUGUUCUCCAUCUCCUAGAUAAGGAAGCAUCCACCCCACCUCUCACCCCCAUGCCAUGUGAAGAAGAAAGAGGGCUGUCAU
RNAcentral lists this small RNA (531 nucleotides) under Pongo abelii (Sumatran orangutan). RNAcentral's name for it is "retained intron". The record is from RNAcentral. Lineage: Eukaryota; Metazoa; Chordata; Mammalia; Primates; Hominidae.